UACGAAGGGGGCUAGCGUUGUUCGGAUUUACUGGGCGUAAAGGGCGCGUAGGCGGGCUGAUCAGUCAGGGGUGAAAUCCCAAGGCUCAACCUUGGAACUGCCUUUGAUACUGUCGGUCUUGAGUUCGAGAGAGGUAAGUGGAACUGCGAGUGUAGAGGUGAAAUUCGUAGAUAUUCGCAAGAACACCAGUGGCGAAGGCGGCUUACUGGCUCGAAACUGACGCUGAGGCGCGAAAGCGUGGGGAGCAAACAGG
This 253-nucleotide ribosomal RNA is filed under the name uncultured bacterium. Its description in RNAcentral is "partial 16S ribosomal RNA". It matches the Rfam family "Bacterial small subunit ribosomal RNA", at positions 524 to 776 of the family's 1533-position model. The record is from RNAcentral.